GACGAACGCUGGCGGCGUGCUUAACACAUGCAAGUCGAACGGAAAGGCCCUGCUUUUGUGGGGUGCUCGAGUGGCGAACGGGUGGGUAACACGUGAGUAACCUGCCCUUGACUUUGGGAUAACUUCAGGAAACUGGGGCUAAUACCGGAUAGGAGCUCCUGCUGCAUGGUGGGGGUUGGAAAGUUUCGGCGGUUGGGGAUGGACUCGCGGCUUAUCAGCUUGUUGGUGGGGUAGUGGCUUACCAAGGCUUUGACGGGUAGCCGGCCUGAGAGGGUGGCCGGCCACAUUGGGACUGAGAUACGGCCCAGACUCCUACGGGAGGCAGCAGUGGGGAAUAUUGCACAAUGGGCGGAAGCCUGAUGCAGCAACGCCGCGUGCGGGAUGACGGCCUUCGGGUUGUAAACCGCUUUCGCCUGUGACGAAGCGUGAGUGACGGUAAUGGGUAAAGAAGCACCGGCUAACUACGUG
RNAcentral lists this ribosomal RNA (468 nucleotides) under uncultured bacterium. RNAcentral's name for it is "partial 16S ribosomal RNA". It matches the Rfam family "Bacterial small subunit ribosomal RNA", at positions 28 to 507 of the family's 1533-position model. The record is from RNAcentral.